GGUUCAGGACGAACGCUGGCGGCGUGCCUAAUACAUGCAAGGUCGAACGGUCUUUCUAUGGAAGCUUGCUUCCACUGAGAAGAUAGUGGCGAACGGGUGAGUAACACGUGGGGUAACCUGCCCAUAAGAGGGGGGAUAACAUCCGGAAACGGGUGCUAAUACCGCAUAGUUUUCUUGAUCGCAUGAUUGGGAAAGGAAAGACGGGCCUUUGUGCUGCCGCUUAUGGAUGGACCCGCGGCGUAUUAGUUAGUUGGUGAGGUAACGGCUCACCAAGACGAUGAUACGUAGCCGACCUGAGAGGGUGAUCGGCCACAUUGGGACUGAGACACGGCCCAAACUCCUACGGGAGGCAGCAGUAGGGAAUCUUCCGCAAUGGACGAAAGUCUGACGGAGCAACGCCGCGUGAGUGAAGUAAAAGGGUUUUCGGAUCGUAAAACUCUGUUGUCAGAGAAGAACAAGUUGGAGAGUAACUGCUCCAGCCUUGACGGUAUCUGACCAGAAAGCCACGGCUAACUACGUGCCAGCAGCGGC
This 531-nucleotide ribosomal RNA is filed under the name uncultured bacterium. Its description in RNAcentral is "bacterial SSU rRNA". It matches the Rfam family "Bacterial small subunit ribosomal RNA", at positions 21 to 518 of the family's 1533-position model. The record is from RNAcentral.